This 360-nucleotide ribosomal RNA is filed under the name Tanystigma sp. 1 (09.20.2007.13). Its description in RNAcentral is "partial 12S ribosomal RNA". The record is from RNAcentral. Lineage: Eukaryota; Metazoa; Arthropoda; Insecta; Psocodea; Psocidae.
CCCUAUUAUAGUUAAUAUAAUUGUAAUUUUGAGUAGUAUAUGAUUUGAUCAGGAAACUUAAAGAAUUUGGCGGUGUAUAUUCUAAUUAGAGGAAUAUGUUUUUUAAUUGAUAAUCCACAUCUAUCUUACUUAAAUUUAUUUAUUUUGUAUAUCUCCGUCUAAAAAAGAUUUUUAUAAAGAUUCUUUUUAUUUUAUAAUAUAAAACAAGUCAGGUCAAGGUGCAGAUAAUAUUUAAGAUAAAAUGUAUUACAAUAAAUGUAUUUUUAGAUUUAAGUUUAAAUAGUUUAAUAAAAUUGGAUUUAUAAGUAAAUUCUUUUAAAUAAUAAUGAAUUGAAUUAUGUUAAUAUACAUGUACACAUC